RNAcentral lists this long non-coding RNA (2788 nucleotides) under Sus scrofa (pig). RNAcentral's name for it is "lncRNA (ENSSSCG00045020618.1)". Lineage: Eukaryota; Metazoa; Chordata; Mammalia; Artiodactyla; Suidae. The record is from RNAcentral.
GAGAAGGCGUAAGGUCAGCCGGACGGGGGGAGUCUGAUCAGUGACCUCAGCAUGGCCUUUGGGAAGGGACGAGGCCGGCCCACUAUCCCCCUAGCUUAAACAUGCCCAGCCUGGGACCGACCACAGGAUGUCCUUUUCACAUCCACAACUGCGCAACUGAGAGAAGAGCAUGAGCAGCUGAGAAGAUUUUAUUGUGUGUUAAAUAAGGACCUCUUCAGGGAGAAAUUGAUGGCUCAAAAGGUUCACCAACACCUCCCGGAUCCCAUCAUCCCCUCAGCCUGAGUGCAGCUCCUAUUACUGCUGCUGCUCCGAGGAGCCGGGUUUGUACGUAGUCAGCAGGUAAUAAAUACAUCCGUAGACUGGCUCCUCCAUCUGGACCAACGACCUUGCUUCUAGGUGACUCAGUGAGUGGAGAUCAAGCCUCAGAUGCUCUUUCUGCAGUGGAGUCACAUUCUCAUGUCCUGUCUUCAUCUGUAAACUGUGCAUACCACUGAUAACUACCUGAUUCAAGGCUCAGUUGAAAUGACCCAGGUGAAGCUUCUUCCCAGCAAGGAUCUCAUUAAUGAACUUGGUCCCCUUCUUUGAUGAACGUUUGGACACUGACAGGUACUUCUCUGAGCAGUGUCUCCUUCAGAUGGCCUUUGAUGCUUUGCCUCGCAUUCCACAUGUUAUAUGGUGUUGGGCAAGAGGCACACCUGUCUUCUUUCCUGGCCUCUUUCAGGCUAGACUGAUCUCAGACACCCUCCCCUGGAAGGCUGAUUGGAUAAAUACAGACACAAUCAGAUAUACAGUGAAGAGAAUUUCAGUCAAUCAGUGUGUUCAGUAGUUAUACUAGAUAAAAUCAAGACUUUAAAAUAAGGAAGCUUGAGGAAAAGUGACUAAAGGGAUUUAACAAUCUGUUGUGUUGUGUGCAGCCUUCUUUGGAGUGUAAUGAUUUACUUUUGUUGAAAUAAAAAUAUCAAUUACUAAUAUUUCCACGGUGAAAAAGUAGACAAAGAAUCUGAUAAUUCUUCAAGUUUUUAUUGUAUCUUUUUGUAUGUUUUCUUUCAAAACUCAUUUUCAUUUACUGGCCAGAAUUUUACCUCCUGUUGAUGCUGCACAACUGUUGCAAUAAAUUCAGUCGUAUCACACGACUCAGAGAGCAACACUGAUCCCGCUGCCCCACAAGGGAGCUUCCUUGUCUGGCUUCUUUACUCAUCAUAAUUAUUUGGAGAACAAGAUGUGAAACAUUCAAUUAAGUCCGAGUUUAUAUGAUUUUAUAUGUGAUCAAACUUGCUACACAUAAAAAACCUCACAUGUAAUUAUGUGAUACCACAUGCUUUGUGUAUAUCAACAGUGAAACCGAUGCUCAGCUUUUUAAGCAUAAUUGUUCAUUGUGCCUCAGACUAAAACUCUGCUAGUAACCAAAGCCAUUUUCCUCUGAAGCGAUAAACACAAAGCAAAUGAUCUGUUAGCUGCCAACAAGCUUAUAUGUAAGGGAAUAUAAAUAAGACACUUGAUAAAAGGUUCUCCUGUUGCCAAAAGAGGUGGCCAAAUAACCUGAAAAACAAAGCUGAAGAGUGGCUGUUUUGAGAUGCUGAACAAGACGACGAGACGGGAUCUGCCGAAUUCCUCUAAUACACUUAGACUGGACGCUGCCCCCCUCAACACACACGCACCUGUGUGCACGCACGUACAAUCAUUUACACGUGUAUACAACACAACACUUUUGUCUUCCAUAAGUUGCUUGUAACCCAGGUUAGUUCAGCAAUUGCUCCACGUUACCAUUUAGUUUUCUUUAUAAUGUCUAAACAGGAUUAAAGCUAAAAAUAGUUUAAAAUAUUAUUAUAUCCCAAUCUCAGAACUAUUUGAUUGUGUAUAUAAAAAUGCAAACCCAAGAAUGUUACAAAAUAACAUCUUUUAACUAUUUAAGAAAGAUCGUUUCACAUACAGCACCAUGAUAUACGCGAAGGGAGCACUCAGUGCACAUUUUUCAGGUGCUCUGGCCUUGCGUCUUCUCUGUGCCAUGUCACCUCACUCUGGCCUGGCUGACAAGCCAUAUUUUCACUUCCUUCAAAGCAGCAUGUGCUUAAUCUGACGAUAAUUUUUGUCAAGUUCAUUAAUAUGUUUUACUUUUUUAAUGUGUGUGCUUUUGUAUUUUCCUCAUUUUCUUUGGUUCCACAGAGCUGAGGUCCUAUAAAUUAUUUUGCAGAAGGGAUGGGUGACUAUUUUCCAUGUCUUAGUCUCUGGCUUAUUAUUUCAGACAUUUAAUAACCUAAGAGAGGACGCUUUUCAUUUCAGAGUCCCUGUACCAUAUGCCUUAGAAUAAGUUACAGGGGAUUAAACCUGAUCCAUAGUCUCUUCCUGUCAAGUAUGAUAUGAUGUAUGAAUUUUUCCGUUGUGCCUCCACUACCCAUAAGCCAUUGUUUUCUUUUCUACAUAUUAACUCCCACACAUCACUAGAAUAGAAUCCUGUUAUCUUGUGCUGGCUGAGGAUAUUAUGGCAGCCGGGAGGUUUCUGUGUGUUACAGCACAAGUUGUCUUUUUCUUGUCUAAUGUUUUGUCUAGUUUUCAUACUGUGAUGAUGUUUUUAAAGGUCCCUUUUGUGUAUUGUAUUUUGGAUCUGAUCAUUUUUCAGAGAAUUUUUAAAAAAAUUAACCCUUCAGGUCAUGGACCAGAGAAUUUCAUUUGUCAAAUUCCCAUUUCUUUGAGGAAGAGUCUAGGAUCCUUUGAAAUACUAGUGUGGAAAAUAAUAAAAGUGAAAGGAACUUUUGGUUUCUGAAUAAACAUGUAUGUCAUUUGGCUUACC